This 424-nucleotide ribosomal RNA is filed under the name uncultured Flavobacterium sp. RNAcentral describes it as "bacterial SSU rRNA". It matches the Rfam family "Bacterial small subunit ribosomal RNA", at positions 355 to 776 of the family's 1533-position model. Lineage: Bacteria; Pseudomonadati; Bacteroidota; Flavobacteriia; Flavobacteriales; Flavobacteriaceae. The record is from RNAcentral.
UGAGGAAUAUUGGUCAAUGGUCGCAAGACUGAACCAGCCAUGCCGCGUGCAGGAUGACGGUCCUAUGGAUUGUAAACUGCUUUUGUACGGGAAGAAACACUCCUACGUGUAGGGGCUUGACGGUACCGUAAGAAUAAGGAUCGGCUAACUCCGUGCCAGCAGCCGCGGUAAUACGGAGGAUCCGAGCGUUAUCCGGAAUCAUUGGGUUUAAAGGGUCCGUAGGCGGCCCUGUAAGUCAGCGGUGAAAUCUCCCGGCUCAACCGGGAAACUGCCGUUGAUACUGCAGGGCUUGAAUUGCCGGGAAGUAACUAGAAUAUGUAGUGUAGCGGUGAAAUGCUUAGAUAUUACAUGGAAUACCGAUUGCGAAGGCAGGUUACUACCGGCGUAUUGACGCUGAUGGACGAAAGCGUGGGGAGCGAACAGG